CUACGUAGGGUGCAAGCGUUAAUCGGAAUUACUGGGCGUAAAGCGUGCGCAGGCGGUUUUGUAAGACAGAGGUGAAAUCCCCGGGCUCCACCUGGGAACUGCCUUUGUGACUGCAAAGCUAGAGUACGGAAGAGGGGGAUGGAAUUCCGCGUGUAGCAGUGAGAUGCGUAGACAUGCGGAGGAACACCGAUGGCGAAGGCAAUCCCCUGGGCCUGUACUGACGCUCAUGCACGAAAGCGUGGGGAGCAAACAGGAUUAGAUACCCUGGUAGUCCACGCCCUAAACGAUGUCAACUGGUUGUUGGGUCUUCAUUGACUCAGUAACGAAGCUAACGCGUGAAGUUGACCGCCUGGGGAGUACGGCCGCAAGGUUGAAACUUAAAGGAAUUGACGGGG
Molecule: ribosomal RNA, 395 nt
Filed under: uncultured bacterium
Lineage: Bacteria
Description: partial 16S ribosomal RNA
Rfam family: Bacterial small subunit ribosomal RNA
Source: RNAcentral